Molecule: non-coding RNA, 2900 nt
Organism: Malus domestica (apple)
Lineage: Eukaryota; Viridiplantae; Streptophyta; Magnoliopsida; Rosales; Rosaceae
Source: RefSeq, a predicted model, not a curated record
ACGUUUUAUAAUAAAAGUUACGACAUGGUCAAUGUUUCAUGGACUUGUGAUGCAAUUCAAUAACUCGAUAUACACCACAUGACGAAACCAUCAUGCUAAAAUCUUACUAAAGUUUAAUACGGUGCACCAAACGAGGCCUUUAAACCGAACCCAAGUGACCUGGCCCAACAGCAACCGAUAUGUCCAAUCCAUUAUUAUGGAGGGAAGGCACUCGAGAUGGAGCUCACAGCCACGGCCCCGCGAUCUGCUAAGAAAAAUCAGAGAAUUUGCUCUAGCUAUGAUUGAAGAUCUCAGCAAUGGACGGUCUCCGGAGAUUUUCAUCGAUCGCUUCAGAAAUUACUGCACGAAUCCCGAUUCAAAUUGCUAUUGUAGUUUUGAUUCACCGAAAGGGCAGGAGAUUCUCACGCUUCGAAGAACAAGCCAUGUGCGUAGAUUAGGGUUUUGUUGAUUAUUCAGCAACUUCUGCAAGAAAACAGACAUGGAUCUAAGGCCUGAUUUGGUACUGAGCACAGCAGAAACAGUUUUUUUUAAAGCACAACAAUACCAAACCAGCCCUAAGAGGGAUAUCUAUUACAUGCAUCCUUCUAUAUUUUCAGGUGAUCUGAGUUAUCUUUCAUUUCCAGUGUCAAAGCAUAAUCCAUACUAUAUGAUAUAGUUCGUUAAGGGACCUUGAACUUGGAUUAUGAUAAAUUGUAUUCUUUGUAAAUUUAGUAAACCUUGACAAAUGCAAUAUAUUUUGGGCCUUAUAUUUUUCAUAUCAUCAUGGAGAACACAGGAUUUCUGUUUAGACAUGAUCUUUAAUAAUUUGAAGUUCUUGAUGUGGUAUGUUCGCGGUCUCUCCAUGUAAGUAGUAAUAUUUUCUGCUUAAAUUACAAUGCGGAUCAGUCAGUCGUAGACCGUGCAAUCAAUGACAUAUGCAUCCUUCUGCAUUGUAGUCGCCACAAUUUGAAUGUCGUGGGUACUCCGAUUUUUUCCAUUGCUAUUUUAUUUAUAUUAUUGUACUCGAGCCUGUUAUGUACGAUUAGUAUAAUAGCAUUUUGAUAAGCCUGCUCAUAAUUUUGUGGUAUUUAUUUCAUGUUCCUCCUUUUGACAGGUGUCUGUAGGAAAGGGGUACGUAUGAAAAAUUUCGCUUGAUUUUCAAAGAAAAGAAGAUAAUGGUGUACUUUCCUGUUUGAUUUUGUAUGAAAAUGACUAAUGCCAAUACUUACACCUUUAAAUGCGCGCAUUCCUGGUUUUAUUGAAUACUUUGUUAAUCUUGAGUUGAUCGACUUCCUCCCCUGUGGUAGCAUUAGAUUUUCGUGGCAUUGAUAACAAUGAUAACAAUUCACAUAUUGUCAAACCAGAAUGUUAAAUGACAUGCUUUAUAGGUUGGUAAUGGGCUGGUUAAGGUUCUUAGAAGCUGGAAAUGUAUUUGAUUGCAUAAAUAGGCCCAACACAGUAAGAAUGGAUCUAAUUUGAUUUUUUUAAAUGAUUUGAUGAUAUCUUCUUCAUUGUCGCCUUACUGUGUCUGAACUUAAAACUUUGCAUCUGGUUCACAUACAGGCCUUCCCUGUCCCUAUUCAUGUUGAAGAGGUUAAAGGUAUCCAGAUGAUUAAGAGAGAAUAAUUAAAUUUCCGUGUUUAGAAACAAUGUUAUUCAAUUUUGAUAAUCUAAAUGUUAUAAACGCAUUGCUAAUCCUUAUAGACCAACCCUAAGUGUCCAAAGAAAGAAAACUCAAACCUUUAAUUCUAACAUGCAGAUAUUGUCAGUGUAGCUCGGUACAUACUUGUUGUGGAGAAAGAAUCAGGUAUACCAUUUUUUUUUUUUUUUUUGUAACUCUGACGCUUUAGCAUGAUAGAGCUUGAUUUUGAUACGUGCUUCCAUCAACAAACCAUCAUUUGUUUAUAUAUUUGUACAAUUUUUCAAUGAUUGGCAAAUGACCAGUUUUGCAACAAAAACCAUUGCAUCGUUACCACCGGGCGUGGCUAUCCUGAUAUUCCCACAAGAAGGUAAAGAGUCCCCAUCAAACUUAAAAUGGGAGUAGGUUUUUGGGGCUCCUUGUUGAUACUCUGCAUCUCCCUAUCUAUUGCUUGGUAGAUUGUGAUCCGUACGGUUUUGACAUCCUCUCGAUGUAUCGGUUUGGUUCUAUGGUUAGGCUUGCUGAUUAAUCCGUUAAAUUGUUAUCUACUUUUUGCCAAGUUGACUAGCAUGUGAACUACCUAGGAAAACUGCACAUAUUGAAGAUUAAGAAGUGCUGAAGAAGUCAAUUGUUUUGUAGACUGCUCCUACAUUGUAACGAAGCUCAAGUUUAUAUCAAUUUAACGCACUCCCAUUGUUAUGUAAGCAAAUGGUCUAUGAUGCAAAAUUUCUACGCGUCCCCGAGGUACUCUGGCUUGGAGCCUUCCCUUCGGACUCAGACAAGUACGGUCUUCCACAACAGUGUCUCCUUCAUUUGACGGUAGAAGGUGAGAGAUAUGGUGCUUUACAUUGGCAUUUCUUUGUUUGUAACCUUCCUGAGGUUCUUCAUGCCAGACAAGAGGAAAACGGAGGCCAUGCUACUUCGAUGCUACUUACAGAAUGAAGCGCCGCCAGUGGAGAUUGGAGCUACAGUUGAUGCUGGAAAGAGGAGUGAAGUUUGAGUUAGAAGCGUUGUCUGUGCACGAACUUAACUAUUUGUCGGAGGUGUACAUACCAUCUAAACUUCAAGGUGGAGUCCACAUCUAACACCAUCUAAAUCUGUAUUACUUAGAUUGUAGGAUAAACGAAAUUAUCGGAUUUCUGCAAAGCAUAAUCAACAUUUGCAUUUGCAAACCAUUGUUAAGUGGACAAACAAUGAUCUGAAAACACAAAACUGGAAUGCCACAAUAAUUAGUGAUGUAAUUCCUUUGUGAUUAUGGUGCGCUAUCGUUUUUACCUUUUUA